Molecule: ribosomal RNA, 373 nt
Filed under: uncultured bacterium
Lineage: Bacteria
Description: bacterial SSU rRNA
Rfam family: Bacterial small subunit ribosomal RNA
Source: RNAcentral
UACGGAGGGGGCAAGCGUUGUUCGGAGUCACUGGGCGUAAAGGGCGCGUAGGCGGUGCAUAAAGUCAGGCGUGAAAGCCCCGGGCUUAACCUGGGAAUUGCGCUUGAUACUGAUGCGCUAGAGAGCGGGAGAGGAUGGCGGAAUUCCCAGUGUAGAGGUGAAAUUCGUAGAUAUUGGGAAGAACACCGGUGGCGAAGGCGGCCAUCUGGACCGUUUCUGACGCUGAGGCGCGAAAGCGUGGGGAGCAAACAGGAUUAGAUACCCUGGUAGUCCACGCCGUAAACGAUGAGUGCUAGACGUUGGGGGCUUGGCCUUCGGUGUCGCAGCUAACGCAAUAAGCACUCCGCCUGGGGAGUACGGCCGCAAGGUUAAA